AAAUUGAAGAGUUUGAUCAUGGCUCAGAUUGAACGCUGGCGGCAGGCCUAACACAUGCAAGUCGAACGGUAGCACAGAGAGCUUGCUCUCGGGUGACGAGUGGCGGACGGGUGAGUAAUGUCUGGGAAACUGCCCGAUGGAGGGGGAUAACUACUGGAAACGGUAGCUAAUACCGCAUAAUGUCGCAAGACCAAAGUGGGGGACCUUCGGGCCUCACACCAUCGGAUGUGCCCAGAUGGGAUUAGCUUGUUGGUG
RNAcentral lists this ribosomal RNA (255 nucleotides) under Salmonella enterica. RNAcentral describes it as "partial 16S ribosomal RNA". It matches the Rfam family "Bacterial small subunit ribosomal RNA", at positions 1 to 254 of the family's 1533-position model. RNAcentral also lists the same sequence under 1 other name. The record is from RNAcentral. Lineage: Bacteria; Pseudomonadati; Pseudomonadota; Gammaproteobacteria; Enterobacterales; Enterobacteriaceae.